Molecule: ribosomal RNA, 309 nt
Filed under: Citrobacter koseri
Lineage: Bacteria; Pseudomonadati; Pseudomonadota; Gammaproteobacteria; Enterobacterales; Enterobacteriaceae
Description: bacterial SSU rRNA
Rfam family: Bacterial small subunit ribosomal RNA
Source: RNAcentral
CGCGUUAAGUCGACCGCCUGGGGAGUACGGCCGCAAGGUUAAAACUCAAAUGAAUUGACGGGGGCCCGCACAAGCGGUGGAGCAUGUGGUUUAAUUCGAUGCAACGCGAAGAACCUUACCUGGUCUUGACAUCCACGGAAGUUUUCAGAGAUGAGAAUGUGCCUUCGGGAACCGUGAGACAGGUGCUGCAUGGCUGUCGUCAGCUCGUGUUGUGAAAUGUUGGGUUAAGUCCCGCAACGAGCGCAACCCUUAUCCUUUGUUGCCAGCGGUUAGGCCGGGAACUCAAAGGAGACUGCCAGUGAUAAACUG